AGAUGGAAGGUAGAUGUGGUUAUGGCAUCUGAUAGCAGGGUUGAUUUGGCUGAUCUGACUGUUUAGGCAGGUGUUCCUUCUUCCCUCACUGAUCCACAUGCAUCUCACCCAAAGAUGUGUUCUUGGUGGAAGGGGUUGGCCACUCCAGAUAGAAGUAUACCAUUCUUUAGGUCAAAGCAGAAAAAACCUUUCCUUAAUGAUUGCCAGAUAAGACAUUUAAAGAAUCAGUAUAAACAUAGGUGGGUCACACAAGCAUAUUAAAGGACGUGGCUCCACUU
This 278-nucleotide small nuclear RNA is filed under the name Salvator merianae (Argentine black and white tegu). RNAcentral describes it as "7SK RNA (ENSSMRG00000020684.1)". It matches the Rfam family "7SK RNA". Rfam says of the family: 7SK was discovered as an abundant small nuclear RNA in the mid-70s but a possible function has only recently been suggested. Two independent studies have found that 7SK RNA binds the CDK9/cyclin T complex (known as elongation factor P-TEFb). The record is from Rfam by way of RNAcentral. Lineage: Eukaryota; Metazoa; Chordata; Lepidosauria; Squamata; Teiidae.